CCCGGAUACACCAACUGGGAUGAAGAUCAGCCCGACAACUAUUUGCACUCCAAGAAUGAAGAUGCAGCCGAGAACUGCGUCGAGAUAAGGCCUCCGUUUGGCUACAGGUGGAAUGACCAAAUGUGUCAUAUUAAAAAACAGUUCGUGUGCCAGAAGCCUCCUAGUAAGACCUGUGUCCUUCCCACGAGCCUGUCAGCCAGUCAGAAACACUGAAGCCGCACCAUCGGCCGCGUCUAAUACAGCAAUGAUAGAAGAAGAACUGUAACGGGGCUAUUCACCGACAGCCUUUAUUUGAUUAUUUUUCAGUAUCUUUAAGCAGUAACACACCUGGAUUCCUCGAGAUUCCACUGAUACUGUAACAACACUUGGUGUCAUAUAUUACAUGUUAACUGUGCCUAGUUUCACUGAUACUAACUAGCGUCAUCAAUGUUGAUUAUUUUUUCCGUUGUUGAUUGGCUGGUGGAAAAGAUUUCCCU
Eriocheir sinensis (Chinese mitten crab) is the source of this 476-nucleotide long non-coding RNA. RefSeq lists it as uncharacterized. The record is from RefSeq and is a predicted model, not a curated record. The transcript has 3 exons. NCBI's taxonomy places the organism in Eukaryota, Metazoa, Arthropoda, Malacostraca, Decapoda, Varunidae.